Molecule: long non-coding RNA, 1777 nt
Organism: Neodiprion fabricii
Lineage: Eukaryota; Metazoa; Arthropoda; Insecta; Hymenoptera; Diprionidae
Exons: 2
Source: RefSeq, a predicted model, not a curated record
GGUGAAGGGUUAAAUAGGGGAAGGGUGAGUGGCGGAUGGAAUGGUUGGGGUGCGGCAGGGAAGGAGGGCGGGACGGUGAAGGGAAGUGAAAGGGGAUUCUUGACAUGGCGGUGGCGGUGAUAUUUUUUUAUAAUAUAGGACGACGAUACGAUAUAAACAGUUAUUUAACUCUAUAGGUAUAGGGGUAUAUACUUAGAGUAAAUGGUUCAAUCUGCGUAGGUAUAAGGGUAUAUUUUGGGUGAAGGAUUCAAUCCCUGAUCCUCAGAUGGAUGUAUAUUGUAUAUAUGUGGGGUAAGAGGUUAUAUCUGCUUAGGUACAAGGGUAUAUUUAACGUGAAGGGUUCAAUCCCUGAUCCUAAGAUGGAUGUAUAUUGUAUAUAUGUGGGGUAAAGGGUUAAAUCUGUAAGGGUGUGAGAGCAUAUAUGUGGGUUUGAGGUCAAGUCUGUCAACAUCUGAGGGCAUAUACAUGUGUUCUAGGUUAAAUUUGUCAAGGUAUAAGGGCAUAUAUGCAGGUUCGAGGUUGUCUGUCAGGAUCUAAGGGCAUAUACGUGAGUUCGAGGUUAAAUUUGUCAAGGUAUAGAAGGAAGGGCGGCCUUUCUGGUGAAGGGCCGUGGCGGGAAAGGGAGGAGCUGAGGUAGUGACGGGUAGGGCGGGUGAUGGAAGGAAGAUCUGGAUUCCUGACACGGCAGCGGCGAAAUAUCUUUAUAACAGAGAGAUGUGUAUAUAUAUAUGUAUAUAUAUACAUAAUGAUAUUUAUGCAUAAUUUAUAUAAGUAUACAUAUCAUCAUGUACAUGUAUAAUUCAGCACAAAUUAAUUUCGAGAGGCUUGUAGUAUGCUUAAGGAGGUUGUCUAGUGUCAAGGCUAUUUUUUUUUUAUUUUAAGGUUUUUCACUUAUUUUUUUUUUUACGACAAACCAUGGAAAUAAAAUUAUCAUAAUUCUCGCUUCAUAUUUAUUGGCAUUUAAACAAACGUUGUGAUUUUUUCGGAUACAAAAUAUUGAAUAUAACCUGACGUAUACUGCCCGAUGGGAACGUAAAUUAAAAAAAGUGUAGACAUGAUAUCUGAUGAAGCACUAGACCAAUCCUAUUCAAAUUUUUACAGUAUCUUUAUUAUACCUAUACCUAUCGUGUGAACUAGGAUAAUCAUGAUUGCUUUGUUAAAUUUUGUUUUAUGAAAAGAUAAUCUGAAAUUGUUGUUCUUUUCCAUCUGAUUAGCUUGUAGAACAAAAACUACGAAGGCAAUCAUGAUAAUUCUAGAUCACGUGCUGUUAAAAUUUGAGCAGGAUGUGUCUAGUGCUUUUUGAGAUAUCAUUUCUACACUUUUUUUUUUAGAUAUGUUUCUAUUGGGAAGUAUACAUUAGAUUAUAUUCACUAUUUCGUCUCGAAAAAAAAUGUCAUAGUUCGUUUAAAUAUGAAUAAAUAUAAUGUGAAAAUUAUGAGAAUUUAUAUUUCAAUGAUUUGUCAUAAAAAAAUACCCAAAAAGCCUUAUAAAAAACAGCAUUUACACUAGACGACCCCUUUAAGGGGGUAUUCUGGUCUAGAAAUUUCGAGAAAUUGAUUAAUUUUUUUUGUACAUUAUUAUAGCUUCAUCUUUCAAGAAUAUUUUGGACUAAAGCCGGUGUCAAAUUUCCACAAAUUUAUAAAGUUGUGAGUACUUGAGUGAAACAACGUACGACCGCUCGGUAUGCACCUCAAUAGAUUUACUGGGUUCAAAAAUACAAAGAUCAGCCUGUAAGGAAGCUGUGAAUGCGGCAAAAGGCCUAUAUACCCCAGGAAUC